AACGAACGCUGGCGGCGUGGAUAAAACAUGCAAGUCAAACGGGACUUUUUCAAAUAGCAAUAUUUGGAAAAGUUUAGGGGCGAACGGGUGCGUAACACGUGGGCAAUCUGCCAAGAAGGGGGGGAUAGCUCGCCAAAAGGCGAAUUAAUACCGCAUAUGAUCAGGGACAACAUCUUCCCAACAUCAAAGCCGGGGUAACCUGGCGCUUCUUGAUGAGCCCGCGGCCUAUCACCUAGUUGGUGAGGUAACGGCCCACCAAGGCAAUGACGGGUAGCUGGUCUGAAAGGACAACCAGUCACACUGGAACUGAGACACGGUCCAAACACCUACGGGGGGCAGCAGUCGAGAAUUUUUCUCAAGGGGCGAAAGCCUGAAGGAGCGACGCCGCGGGGGGGAUGAAUGGCUUCGGCCCGUAAACCCCUGUCAUUUGCAAACAAACCUUACAACUUAAUAGGUCGUGAGCUGAUUGUAGCGAAAGAGGAAGGGACGGCUAACUCUGUG
RNAcentral lists this ribosomal RNA (501 nucleotides) under uncultured bacterium. RNAcentral's name for it is "bacterial SSU rRNA". It matches the Rfam family "Bacterial small subunit ribosomal RNA", at positions 29 to 507 of the family's 1533-position model. The record is from RNAcentral.